CUUUUACGUCGGCCUUCGCGAGCGUCUGGGCGGGUGGUAGGUGAGUGGGUAUUGCGGGCUAGUAUCCGAGCAAAAGAUGGUGGCGCAGGCCGAGUUAAGAGCUUUAAUCCUGUGAAGACAUCUUAGUGAAGAGUUUAGAGUGCUGAGAGUUGAAAGCUUGCACGUGGGAAACGUGCGGCCGGACUGCCACAUGUACUGAGGUUGAGUCGUGACGGCCACAGGCUCCGAGUUUUGGCGUGAGGAACCGCUGAUCGGCCACGGGCGCCGAACUUGCUGGCCUCCGGCAUGUGCCUGAGCGGCGGCGGAAAAACCACCUUAAUUGGGGCGGAGGGUUAGUUUUAACAGCAAAGGGCCUUUACUAAAAUGGCGAAGGCCUUCCGUCGGCGUUGUUUUAAAAUGGGAAGCCUCGACCCUGUAUUGAAACUGAGCUGUUCGAAGGCGGCGUUGUGUGCAAUUCGGAUUAAUGAAGGGGAAGGGUUUUGUGUGGAAAAACGCCUUGGAGUGUGACAUUUCUGCGAGAAUGCUUAAAUACCGAUUUCCCGCAGGAACAAUGGCGCUGUCUUCAGUGGCACAGUGGAGCAGCUCUGAAGAUGCAAAGAUACACGAAAAAACUUCCAGAACAUCUGGGAGAAUAUUUAAUGGAAAAUCGCUUGGUUAAAACCUGACACUUUUAACAGUGAACAGCGUUCUGAGUGUGGACGAGUAGCCAGUGAAGAUAAUGAAUGUCGAAUGUGACUGACUAGCAGCUUCAUUUUGAAUGAGGGUCGCUGUCUGCCCAUUGAUAGAGGCCAGAUUGUCUUGGAAGUUCCAAAGUUGCAACGAUUUCUGGCUAGUGCCACGAGGUUUACUUGACUGUUGUGUGAAAAGCUGAUAAGAAAACCAUCCAGAAAAAAGCUCUUCGUUUUACAAACAUGAAAAUAAAACAUUUAGUUGAAUCCAUGGACAUGAAACCCACAGAUAUAGAGGGUUGGCCCGGUGCAGUGGCUCACGCCUGUAAUCCCAGCACUUUGGGAGGCCAAGGCGGGUGGAUCACCUGAGGUCAGAAGCUUGAGACCAGCCUGGCCAACAUGGGUACUGCUUUCUCUUGCUGCAGCUUGCUUCCUCCCUCAGGUAUGAAGUUAAGGUUAGUAUCUUCCUUGCUCCGUACUGCCACUUUUUUUUU
Molecule: long non-coding RNA, 1162 nt
Filed under: Homo sapiens (human)
Lineage: Eukaryota; Metazoa; Chordata; Mammalia; Primates; Hominidae
Description: small nucleolar RNA host gene 5
Source: RNAcentral